UAGGGAAUAUUGGACAAUGGGCGAAAGCCUGAUCCAGCCAUGCCGCGUGAUAGAUGAAGGCCCUCUGGGUUGUAAAUAUCUUUUAUCUGGGAAGAAACACCUCUAUUCUUAGAGGCUUGACGGUACCAGAGGAAUAAGCACCGGCUAACUCCGUGCCAGCAGCCGCGGUAAUACGGAGGGUGCAAGCGUUAUCCGGAUUCACUGGGUUUAAAGGGUGCGUAGGUGGGUUGAUAAGUCAGUGGUGAAAGCUCCGAGCUUAACUUGGAAACUGCCAUUGAUACUGUCAGUCUUGAAUGUCGUAGAGGUAAGCGGAAUGUUGCAUGUAGCGGUGAAAUGCUUAGAUAUGUUACAGAACACCAAUUGCGAAGGCAGCUUACUAUGCGAUUAUUGACGCUGAGGCACGAAAGCGUGGGGAGCAAACA
RNAcentral lists this ribosomal RNA (422 nucleotides) under uncultured bacterium. RNAcentral's name for it is "bacterial SSU rRNA". It matches the Rfam family "Bacterial small subunit ribosomal RNA", at positions 355 to 774 of the family's 1533-position model. The record is from RNAcentral.